Molecule: transfer RNA, 82 nt
Rfam family: tRNA
About the family: Transfer RNA (tRNA) molecules are approximately 80 nucleotides in length. Their secondary structure includes four short double-helical elements and three loops (D, anti-codon, and T loops).
Source: Rfam
GGUCCCGUAGCACAGUGGUUAGUGCUUUGUACUUAUGGGUAACAAUAUGCAAGGGUCCCGAGUUCAAAUCUCGGCGGGACCA